RNAcentral lists this ribosomal RNA (292 nucleotides) under uncultured bacterium. RNAcentral's name for it is "partial 16S ribosomal RNA". It matches the Rfam family "Bacterial small subunit ribosomal RNA", at positions 505 to 796 of the family's 1533-position model. The record is from RNAcentral.
GUGCCAGCAGCCGCGGUAAUACGGAGGGAGCUAGCGUUGUUCGGAAUUACUGGGCGUAAAGCGCGCGUAGGCGGCUUUGUAAGUUAGAGGUGAAAGCCCGGGGCUCAACCCCGGAACUGCCUUUAAGACUGCAUCGCUUGAAUCCGGGAGAGGUGAGUGGAAUUCCGAGUGUAGAGGUGAAAUUCGUAGAUAUUCGGAAGAACACCAGUGGCGAAGGCGGCUCACUGGACCGGCAUUGACGCUGAGGUGCGAAAGCGUGGGGAGCAAACAGGAUUAGAAACCCGCGUAGUCC